GGUGAACGCUAGCGGGAGGCCUAACACAUGCAAGCCGAGCGGUAUUGUUUCUUCGGAAAUGAGAGAGCGGCGUACGGGUGCGUAACACGUGUGCAACCUGCCUUUAUCUGGGGGAUAGCCUUUCGAAAGGAAGAUUAAUACUCCAUAAUAUAUUGAACGGCAUCGUUUAAUAUUGAAAGCUCCGGCGGAUAGAGAUGGGCACGCGCAAGAUUAGCUAGUUGGUGAGGUAACGGCUCACCAAGGCGAUGAUCUUUAGGGGGCCUGAGAGGGUGAUCCCCCACACUGGUACUGAGACACGGACCAGACUCCUACGGGAGGCAGCAGUGAGGAAUAUUGGUCAAUGGGUGCAAGCCUGAACCAGCCAUCCCGCGUGAAGGACGACUGCUCUAUGGGUUGUAAACUUCUUUUGUAUAGGGAUAAACCUACCCUCGAGAGGGUAGCUGAAGGUACUAUACGAAUAAGCACCGGCUAACUCCGUG
RNAcentral lists this ribosomal RNA (479 nucleotides) under uncultured bacterium. Its description in RNAcentral is "partial 16S ribosomal RNA". It matches the Rfam family "Bacterial small subunit ribosomal RNA", at positions 28 to 507 of the family's 1533-position model. The record is from RNAcentral.